UCUCAAGAACACAGACCAGCUUCACCUACCUGUAGCGAUGUUUCUGAGAUAAGUCACAGGUCCAAGGAAGAACCAGAGGACUUCAGGAGUAAUCCAACGAGGGCUGAAGAACACAGACCAGCUUCAUCUACCUGUAGCGAGAUUUCAGAGAAAAGUUACAGAUCCAAGGAAGAACCAGAUAACUUAAGGAGUAAUCAAACGCGCCUGUCUGAAGAACACAGACCACAUUCACCUACCUGUAGCGUUGUUUCUGAGAUAAGUCACAGGUCCAAGGAAGAACCUUGGAACUUCAGGAG
This is a long non-coding RNA of Cololabis saira (Pacific saury), 296 nucleotides long. RefSeq lists it as uncharacterized. The record is from RefSeq and is a predicted model, not a curated record. Lineage: Eukaryota; Metazoa; Chordata; Actinopteri; Beloniformes; Belonidae. The transcript is spliced from 3 exons.